RNAcentral lists this ribosomal RNA (89 nucleotides) under Peribacillus simplex. Lineage: Bacteria; Bacillati; Bacillota; Bacilli; Caryophanales; Bacillaceae. The record is from RNAcentral.
UUUGGUGGCGAUAGCGAAGAGGUCACACCCGUUCCCAUUCCGAACACGGCAGUUAAGCUCUUCAGCGCCGAUGGUAGUUGGGGGUUUCC